CCUCAUUGAGUUCAUCAACUUUUUGCUUCCUUAACAUCUGUAAGAAGUCUAGCAGAAUUUGCAUAUUUCGCUCUGCUUCCUCCUGUUCCAAUUUCCUCUUUUUCUCUGACAACAUCAACAAUAGAGCGUCCAGCUCCUUAAUUGACACUUCAGAACCCUGUUCCAAUGAAUGACGAAACUGUUCAACAGGGGAUGCAGUUUUUGAAAUCUGACGGGCAGAUGUCUUCUUCAAUAGCUUGUCAAGUAGGAAAUUGGGAUAGAGUUGACUGGUAGUGAGAUAAUGAGAACAACAGGGGCAAUCACUCUUGUUGUGAAGAUGAGUAACUAUGCACAUAUAGCAAAAACUGUGCCCACAAGCUGUUAAAAAUGCAUCCUUUAUGAUCUGCAUACAUAUAGGACACAACAAUUCCCUGUCCAAUUCCCAUUCUGUCACUGUCCCAACUUCUUCAUCCCUUAGAGUUACACUACCCCCCUCCUCU
This 479-nucleotide unclassified non-coding RNA is filed under the name Hevea brasiliensis (rubber tree). The record is from RNAcentral. Lineage: Eukaryota; Viridiplantae; Streptophyta; Magnoliopsida; Malpighiales; Euphorbiaceae.